Non-coding RNA from Chrysemys picta bellii (western painted turtle), 2940 nucleotides. The record is from RefSeq and is a predicted model, not a curated record. NCBI's taxonomy places the organism in Eukaryota, Metazoa, Chordata, Testudines, Emydidae.
GCUGGGGUAGCUCGGUGCUGGGCAACCUGGCCCCGCAGCACCAUGAAAUCAGGCCACCUCCUCCUGGGGCUCCUCGCCCUCUGGGCUGACCUGACACCUGCCUCUGGGCAGCUCCAUGAAGCUAACGACAUCUGCAAUCUCCCUGCGGACCCCGGCCCAUGUUUAGCCUACAUGCCCAGAUACUUCUACAACUCGGCCACCAAGAGGUGCGAGGAGUUCAUUUACGGCGGCUGCCAGGGCAAUGCAAACAGAUUUUCCAGUAUGGACGAAUGUCUCAAGACCUGUGGAAGCUCAGUGAAAACGGGCAAGUGCCCCACUCCCAUCAACGUGGGGGCUGCGAACUGCGAUAACUUCUGCUCCACGGACGCUGACUGUCCCGGAUCUGAGCGCUGCUGCAGUAACGGCUGUGGGACGGAGUGCAGACUCCCCAUAGGAGUAAACCCAGGGUACUGCCAGGAGGCCCCACCCGGCACGGUGACAAUCUGCCUUGUGGAAUGCAGUAACGACAGGGAAUGUGGAACGGGCAACAAGUGCUGCAGCUGGGGAUGCCACGUGCACUGCGCACGGGCGGUGCCAGCCAAACCCGGCACCUGCCCCAAGAGGAGGGUGCUGCAGACGUUCGCGCCGUGUGAGAAUAAGUGCAGUGACGACAGGGACUGUCCCACCAGGCAGAAAUGCUGCUUUACUGGCUGUGGCCUCGGCUGUCUGGCCCCUCUGUAAGGUUUGAGGCCUUUUUCUGCAGCCACAUUAGGACAGUGACCGACAUUCCAACUAAAUUACAUUAAAACACUGUAAUAUCAGGCUGUUAAGAAAGAGAUCCUGUCCUAAUAGACCCACUAUCACCAGAUAAAGAAACAGAUCUUAAGAUGGCCAAAGAAAACUUGGUUUGAUAGCGUUCUCUCUGGCAAGGAAUCACUUAUCAACAUUUGUGAUUGUAAAAUCUAUACUUCUAUUGGUUUGCCUUUAUGGUUCCUACUUCUCUAUUGUUUAUCUGUCUGGUUCUUUGUUUCUGUCUGUUGCAUAACUAAUUUUGCAAGACUUAAAUCAACUAAGGCGGUGGGGUAUGAUUGGGUAAAGAAUUGUUUCACAAUAUGUUGUGAUUGGUCAAAGAAUUAUUUCACAAUACUUUAGUACAAUGAUUGGUUAAGGUAUAGCUAAGCAGGACUCCAGUUACACUAGAUGUACUGGGGUCCAAGAAUGAGACCAGGUGGGGGGGAAAAAAGAAGAAGCAGAAGAAGGAAAGACCUGAAAAAAGAAGAAGAACUCAUCCCCAAGACUCAGCCUAAGAUAAGAGCUGCUAAGAAUCCUCUGCCCGACUGUGACAUGCAGCAACCAGAAUCCAGAUGAGACUGCCCUUGCCUGGCCACCAGGGGAAGUCCGCCUGCGUGAUCAGGAUUGGUGACAUUUGCCGACUCCUACCUCCUAUCCCUCGCUUCUACAACCCGGCCUCCGGGACGGGCCACAGAUUCUAUUACGGCGGCUGCCAGGGCAACGAGAACGACUCUCCCGGCUGGGCACAGCGUUAGAAGUAACGCUACUGUGAGCGGGACUGGACCCCAGGAGCGCAGGAAGGAGCCCGGAUCCAGGGUGGGAAAUGGGACUAAAUAGCUUGCUCGUUCUGGGGGCUGGAUUCUAGCCCUGCUGCGGGAGGUCAGGGUUGGGGAGACAAUCACGAAAAUCAGUUAAAAAAUUAUUCGGCAUAUGAAUCUGUGCCACAAGUCUUCAUAAACAGCCCUGGCUGUACCUUGAAGGAGCCCGGCAUGGAAUGGCCAUGAGCAGUCAUAUGCACGUGUCGAUUGAGGGUUUACAUACACAGUCCGUAACUGUUAGCAUUGGGGUUUGCAGUUGCACAUACGUUUUGUCUGCCUAACCUUAGUUUCUGAAAAUCCGGCCCUAACCGUUCUUCAACUAAUAUGUAAAUGACGUGACCAUUAAGAAACGGGUUUUCAUGGGGUUCGGAUACGCACACAGCUCUCACGCCCUGAGCCCCAUCUCCCACCCCAGCUGGAGACUGGGUCCCAGUUAGAUUUGAACGUGGAGGCUGAGAUCCUUCAGGGAGUUCUCCCUUUUCUCCGAACCUGCCUCUCCGUGCUCUGUAGCUAAAGUGACCGCACGGCCCAUGUUCAGCCCGCAGUCACAGCUACUUCUACGACUCAGUCACCAAGACGUGUGACGAGUUCAUUUAUGGCGGCUGCCAGGGCAAUGGGAACAAUUGGGCACUGGAGACGACUGUCUCAGGACCUGUGGAGGAGCCGGGAGGCUGUGUCUACACUACCACUUUUGCCGGUAUAAUUUAUGUUAUUCAGAAGUGUGAAGAAACACCCCCCUGAGCGAGAUCAGUGUCACUGACAGAAGUGCCAGUGUGGACAGUGCUAUGUUGCAGGAGAUGUCCCACCGCCGUAGUUCCCGCCACGCGUUGGGGAUGGUUAAUUGUGCCAACGGCAGAGCUCUCUCCUGUCGGCCCAGAGCAGCUCCACGAGCGAUCUGACAGCGGCACAGCUGCGUUGGUACAGCUGUGCUGCUGUAAGUUGCCGGGGUAGACGUGGCCUUAGGUGGGUCAUGACUGCCCAGGUCAGAGGGACAGUGCUGGAAAUACACUAGGGGCUGUUCUCGUAGCGCUGAAGGAGAGUCUGCGACACUGUUUGCGAUGGGAAAUGGACUAAAUACAAGGUCCCCUUGCUAGUUCUGGCAGUCAAAUCCCACCUGUGCCGCUGCCAGCAGUGCCCCCAGAAUGUGAGAACCAGCCUCGGGGCACUGCUAGGAACCAGAGCACAAACCCAAACUGGCUGUGAGUUCUGCACCUAGGUGUCACCAACCAGUUAUUAAGUGUGAACUCCUCAGACACUGUGACGAAGUGGGACUGUUCUUAAUGUUUCCUCUGAAUACUGUGUGGGUGCCUCAGUUUCCCCUAUGCAUUUCUUAAGUCUCCAGUGUGCAUAA